Molecule: long non-coding RNA, 991 nt
Filed under: Zea mays
Lineage: Eukaryota; Viridiplantae; Streptophyta; Magnoliopsida; Poales; Poaceae
Description: long non-coding RNA (ZMAY_LNC000697)
Source: RNAcentral
CGCCGCUAGGCACUUGGUGCCUCUUCGUUUGGCCCCUGGGAGGAAGAAGCGCUCUUGGCCGUACAUCUCAGAUCAAGGGCCAGGAAUGAAUGUAGGCAUUCCAGGGAUCGUAUUGAAUCAGGACCGCAAAUUUGAAGAUCCUACGGCUGUCGUCAGGUACCGACUCAUAAAAUCCUAAGUCUAAUCUGGUCCAUUGAUGGAUGAUCCAGCGGCUGUGGCGUGAAAAUACCCUUUCGCCAUGCGUUUUUCACAAAACAACCCUCGUCUUGUUCAAAAAUAAACCCGCCGUCCUCGCGGGAGUAGUCUGAGUCUGGUAGAGUUUUAUAAAUUUAACCCUAGGCUCUCUGAUAUUAGUGUCCUAGGUCCAGAACACUUUGGAUAUUCAGAAAUUAAUAAAGAAAUAGGUUUUUAGUAUAAGAAUAAAUCCAUAAAUUUGUUUAAUUCGUAUUUAAUUCAUUCUAACUCUGAAUUGACCCAUUCCAGUUUCUAUAAUUUUGUAUUAAUAUUGUUUAUCACCUAGUACCUUUGUUUAACCAUGAAACUUGAAUUAAAAUUGCUCAAUUGAAUUAAUCUAUUCUAGGUGCUAAAUAAUUUCAGAAAUUCAUAACUCAAUAUCCGUAACUCCGUUUUAAUCCAUUCUAGUUGCAUUAGUCUCACUAUAAUAUUUAUUAUCAUUUGGUAACUUUGUUUUGUCAUGAGAUAUAGGUUUAAAUGUUGCACUUAGUCUAUUAUAUACUUAACAACGUGGAUCUUCGGAAAACCAUAACUUCUUAACCGUAGCUCCGAAUUUAGCGAUUCUCGAACCCACGAUCUCGUAGCGACACGUAGAUAUUAUUAUGCAGUUUAUUCUUAUGUUUGGUGUGUUGUUAAUUUUGCCUACACCAUGUUUGUCUGUAUUGCUACGUUUAGCAGUGAGGACACGUGUCAUCUUAAGAGCAAGUUGGUACCUGGAAUCUCAAGUGCCAGGCAAGUUGUGCCCUUGAUCACUUCU